RNAcentral lists this long non-coding RNA (412 nucleotides) under Anser brachyrhynchus (Pink-footed goose). Its description in RNAcentral is "lncRNA (ENSABRG00000000520.1)". The record is from RNAcentral. Lineage: Eukaryota; Metazoa; Chordata; Aves; Anseriformes; Anatidae.
AUGAAUAUGCUGAUGAUGGUUUUAAGUGAAGCCUAUGAGAUGAAGAUUCCAAUUAUACUGAAAAGCAACAUAAUAUCCAUAGGACUGGAACCAUUCCCGUGUAUGUUUGGCUGGGUCAAUAUAUUUAUUCUUGAGAACUGUGUUCUACUGUUGAGGACAAGUUAUUCUUUUUGUGGUAAGACCAUCUGGUCAUCCAUCAUUAUGUCAACCCUUGGCUUUACUCAGCUGGUGACUAUUUUCUUGCCUUGUUCAGUAGAUUCUGGAUAUCUGGACAUAAAGACAUCUAUUAAAUGCCUCAAGAAUUCACGACAUCUAUUAAAUGCCUCAAGAAUUCACAAUCUGUGGAAUGUAUGAGUCUUGUUCAGAGGUACUAAUCAAUAAAGAGAUUAUAUUGUUUUGUUUUCUGAAAUAA